RNAcentral lists this unclassified non-coding RNA (250 nucleotides) under Franwilsia kilcundaensis. Its description in RNAcentral is "partial contains 5.8S ribosomal RNA, internal transcribed spacer 2, and large subunit ribosomal RNA". Lineage: Eukaryota; Fungi; Ascomycota; Lecanoromycetes; Teloschistales; Teloschistaceae. The record is from RNAcentral.
CGCACAUUGCGCCCCUUGGUAUUCCGGGGGGCAUGCCUGUUCGAGCGUCAUAAAACCCAUCAAGCUUCGCUUGGUAUUGGACCUUCGCCCGAGAGGGCGGGUCUGAAAGUCAGUGGCGGCGCGGCCGAAGAUUCGAGCGUAGUAAUAACAUCAUCCCGCUCUGGAGUCUCCGGUCGGGCCCGCCAGAUAACCAUAUUUUUUUUAUUCAAUGGUUGACCUCGGAUCAGGUAGGGAUACCCGCUGAACUUAA